Non-coding RNA from Coffea arabica (coffee), 2455 nucleotides. Lineage: Eukaryota; Viridiplantae; Streptophyta; Magnoliopsida; Gentianales; Rubiaceae. The record is from RefSeq and is a predicted model, not a curated record.
GCCGUUGCUUCCGGCUCCGGUAACCUAUUCCAGCACGGCGUCCUUUCUUUUUUUUUUUCCUUUCUCCCUCUCCCCCUCUUCUCCCCCUCCCCCUCUCUGGAAAAAAGAAAUAAAAUGGCUUUAAGCUUUUCAAAGUCUGAUUUGGUGCGGGCCUUGUGAGAUGGAGACUGGUAUUUCCGUGGGAAACUUCCUGUCUUCUUUCCAUGGGAAAUUUCCAUCGGUGCUUUAGAUCAUGAAGCAAAAAUGUAGGCGCAAAGAACAAAAGAGGGACAUGUUCAAAAACAUAAAAAAAACGAAAAGCAUUUGGGGGAAAUGAAAAGGAGAUGAUGAGCUGAUUAUUUUGAAGUCGAGGUAAUAGGAAUAAAGGUGCCUCUACAGUAAUGGACAAAAUUCAUAAAGCUUCAUUGUUGCAGCAUACACUUUGCAGUAGAGGAGAAAAAGGAAGACAACCAGAACCAAGGCAGAGGAAGAUGACGUAAAAAGAGGGUAGAUGAUGACGUCUUCAGGCACACCUUAUGACAGUGAAGUGUUCAAAAUUUGCAGGGUACAAAAUCCGCACAGCCUUCUUAGAAAAAAAAAUUUUGGACCUUGUCUGCUGCUUCUUCAAUGUUGGAGGCAGAGGUGACGGGGGACGGAAGGGGGAGGGGGGAAAGAAGAGAAAAAGGAAAGAAAGAAAAAGAAAAAAAAAGGAAAAAAAAAUUUUCAUCUUAAAAAAUUUUUUCAAAAAUUUUUACGAUACACUAAAAUAAAAUUUUAGACAAAUUUCCCAAAAACUCAAAUUCCAAACAGGGCCAUAGUUUCGGUAAUCAAAUCUUGACCCUUGAGCAAUUUUGGUGACCAAAUUUUGGAUGAAAAUAAAUUUUGUACCUUAUGUUAUAAUAUUUAAGCACAUUUAGUAUCUUUGAUUGAAUUUUUCAAGUUUCAACUUAAAAAAAAGGAAAAAUGUCCAAUUUUAUCUCUAAAUUUUUUUGUAGUGUCAAUUUAAUUCAUGUAUAAUUUUUUUAGUCAAUUUAAUUCCUAUACUUAUUUAGCAAUUCCAAUUAAAAAAUGCCGCAGCGGCGCCACCAUACAAAUUUAAUCAUGUUACUAAUUGAGUAACCAAAAAAAAGGGUAUUUCAGGUAGUUCACUGUUGGGAUGUAUAUCAGGCAUGAGGCCCUCUGAAGAACAAAAAAAAAGUGAUAAAAAUCGCUUUUUAUGUGAAGUCCCCAAAACACUCAACUCCAGAACAAGUCCUUUUGGAUCGAAACAGUUGGGAAAAGAAGAGAAGAGCUCUGUUGGUUUGCAGAGGAAAGGGAUUUUUGAGUGGUGAUUGUCAGUAACAGAACAACAAAGGAAACUGAAAUUCAGUGGAGCUUCUUCAAUAAAGCCCCAAUAUUCUCAAAACUCGAUUGGAAUCUUGCCGACAUAAAUCUCAGCACCGAACUCUAAACCCGUGAGGAAGAUUCGGGUCUUUUGUAGCGACCCGACUCCAUGGGACCUGGCGUAGCCAUCAGCCACGUAGCCGGCGUUGAGUUCAUUGCAGCAGCCUACGAGAUUGAGGCCCGGUUCAGCCAAGAUGUGGUCGAGGAGUGUGAGGUUAACCUCGCCAGGAAUGGAGAAGACGUCAUUGACACCGACCUGGACUAGACGGCGAGCGAGGUGGCGUCCGAGAGUGGAAUCGGCUGAGUUGAAAGGGAUGGGGAGAUUGGUGGAUGGUGACCGCGCCAUUGGUGGGGAGACUGCCGACAUCGUUGUUGAGUGGCUUACACGUGUCCCGUGCUCCGAUCCUAGCAUCCAUGUUUGCAACGGUGAGACGAGGACGGCGACGUCUUAGAUGUCGGUUGUAGAUGUAAGUAAAGAGUAGUGGAAGGAAAAAUGAGAAAGUUCAAGAAAGUUGGGAAGAAAAGAUGGAAGUCCAGUCCGUGGAGCUAUUAUUAUGUUUUUCUUUCCAUUGUUGUUUUGGUGGGUUCGACAAGGAAGGAAAUUUUUUUUGUCUUGAGGACCAGGUCUCUGCCUCUCCGUUGGAAUGGAUGUUGAUCGGUGAAUGAAUGUGGGAGGGGGUGUGUGUGUGUGUGUGUAUAUAUAAACGUGGUUGGUUGGAUGGCCUCACUUCUCAGAUCCCAUAGAGAUAGGAGUUGAAGAAAAGGUGAAAAAUGUUGCUGAGGGAACCGAAGUUGUUGAGCAAAAGGUGCCUGAUCUGGAUUUAAUGAUGGAUGAGGAGUUGUCAUUGGCUGAACUAGCUCAGGAAAUGGAGCUGGAUUUUGCGCUAAAUUCUCUGCUUAUGGGAGAGGAGUUUGGACAGCCUCUUCGAGACUUUUUGUUAGUCAAGAACCCAAGGUUUAGAAUUGGGUACUUCAAGGAUUUUACUUCUUUUGUUAAUAACUCCAACAGUAAAUUACUUGAAAUACUCCUGCUUAGUUGUUCAAUUAGUGACUUGAUUGAAUUUACAUGAUGGCGCUGCCGUAGCGUUCCUCA